Molecule: long non-coding RNA, 209 nt
Filed under: Solanum tuberosum (potato)
Lineage: Eukaryota; Viridiplantae; Streptophyta; Magnoliopsida; Solanales; Solanaceae
Description: long non-coding RNA (STUB_LNC004461)
Source: RNAcentral
UUUAGGAAAGAACAAAAAUAAUAAUCGAGCAAAGAAAUAUGACAACUAAUUUAGAACGAGGAAAAAUUUCUUGAAUAGCUUGUUUGGAUGACUAUUACGUAUUGUUUCAUAGCAUAUGAUGUCAUAUUAUAUUAUAUUAUAUUUACAGUAUUAUUUUGAUAAAUAUAUAACACUUGGAUGGAUUGUAAUUCCUCAUUUCAUAUUGGCAC